This 406-nucleotide ribosomal RNA is filed under the name uncultured bacterium. RNAcentral's name for it is "partial 16S ribosomal RNA". It matches the Rfam family "Bacterial small subunit ribosomal RNA", at positions 30 to 526 of the family's 1533-position model. The record is from RNAcentral.
AUUGAACGCUGGCGGCAGGCCUAACACAUGCAAGUCGAACGAGUGGCGGACGGGUGAGUAAUGUCUGGGAAACUGCCUGAUGGAGGGGGAUAACUACUGGAAACGGUAGCUAAUACCGCAUACCAUCGGAUGUGCCAAGAUGGGAUUAGCUAGUAGGUGGGGUAAAGGCUCCCAUAGGCGACGAUACCUAGCUGGUCUGAGAGGAUGACCACACACACUGGUACUUGGACCCGGUCCAGGCUCCUCCGGGAGUCAGAAGGGGGGAAUAUUGCACAAUGGGCGCAAGCCUGAUGCAGCUAUGCCGGGUGUAUGAAGUAGUCCUUCGGGUUUUAAAGUACUUUCAGCGGUGAGGCGUUACCCGCAGAAGAAGCACCGGCUAACUCCGUGCCAGCAGCCGCGGUAAUAC